GACGAACGCUGGCGGCGUGCCUAAUACAUGCAAGUUGAGCGCUGAAGGUUGGUACUUGUACCGACUGGAUGAGCAGCGAACGGGUGAGUAACGCGUGGGGAAUCUGCCUUUGAGCGGGGGACAACAUUUGGAAACGAAUGCUAAUACCGCAUAAAAACUUUAAACACAAGUUUUAAGUUUGAAAGAUGCAAUUGCAUCACUCAAAGAUGAUCCCGCGUUGUAUUAGCUAGUUGGUGAGGUAAAGGCUCACCAAGGCGAUGAUACAUAGCCGACCUGAGAGGGUGAGCGGCCGCAUUGGGACUGAGACACGGCCCAAACUCCUACGGGAGGCAGCAGUAGGGAAUCUUCGGCAAUGGACGAAAGUCUGACCGAGCAACGCCGCGUGAGUGAAGAAGGUUUUCGGAUCGUAAAACUCUGUUGGUAGAGAAGAACGUUGGUGAGAGUGGAAAGCUCAUCAAGUGACGGUAACUACCCAGAAAGGGACGGCUAACUACGUG
Molecule: ribosomal RNA, 497 nt
Filed under: uncultured bacterium
Lineage: Bacteria
Description: partial 16S ribosomal RNA
Rfam family: Bacterial small subunit ribosomal RNA
Source: RNAcentral